CACCGUACUGGUCCAAACUGGGGCCAUUCCAAGGCUGAUACUGGGCCCAGAUCCUGCUCCCAUUCCCAGUUUGAUACUGGGCCAGACUGGUCCCAGUUCCAUCCCAGUUCAUCCCAGUUCAUCCCAGUUCAUCCCAGUUCCAAACCAACUCCUGGCUGUCCAUCCAUGGAUUUAUUCCACACAAAAUCCCGGAAUUCUGCCCCAAAAUCCCCCAAAAUUCCAAACAAAAUCCCAGAAAUUUCCCCCCAAAAUCCCAGAAUUUGGCCCAAAAUUCCACAAAAAAUUCCACAAAAAAAUCCACAAAAAAAUCCACAAUUCUGCCCAACUAUUCCAAAAAAUUCCACAAAAAAAUCCCAGAAUUCUGCCCAAAAAUCCAGGAAUUUUACUCCAAAUCCCAGAAAUUUUCCCCAAAAAUCCCCAAAAUUCCACCCAAAAUCCCAGGAAUUUUCCCCAAAAAUCUCCAAAAUUCUGGAAUGGGGCUCCCCCUAUAAAUAUAGUGCAAAAAAAAACAAAAAAAAAACCAAAAAAUGGGAAAAAAAUUUGAGAAUUUCCCAAAAUCGUGGGAGGGUCCAGCCAGGUUUUGGGAUGGGCAGAAAAUCCCGAAAAUCCUCGGGGGAAAUUCUGAGAAAAUUCCAGGAAUUUGGGGAAUUUGGGGAGUUUUGAGGGGAUUUUAAUGGGAAUUUUUGGGAAUUUUGAGGGAAUUUUUGG
RNAcentral lists this long non-coding RNA (708 nucleotides) under Junco hyemalis (dark-eyed junco). Its description in RNAcentral is "lncRNA (ENSJHYG00000003368.1)". The record is from RNAcentral. Lineage: Eukaryota; Metazoa; Chordata; Aves; Passeriformes; Passerellidae.